Molecule: non-coding RNA, 628 nt
Organism: Megalobrama amblycephala (Wuchang bream)
Lineage: Eukaryota; Metazoa; Chordata; Actinopteri; Cypriniformes; Xenocyprididae
Source: the annotation of a RefSeq genome assembly
UACAGUCUUCAGGAUAAUGAUUUAAAUAGAGAGAGUCACUUUGCAUUGUCACACAUGCUUCAGUGCUCUGAGAGUGUUUAUAGUGCUGUGAGUUUAACACUUCAUGACUGACACUGUUUAUCAUAUUAACAGACACAGCAACUAAAAUGACAUUCAUCAUAUUCUUCUUGAUCUUAGGAAUGUAUUUUCAGGAUUCCACAGGACAGGUGACUGCAACUCAGACUCCCACAGAGAAACAUGUUCAGAACGGACACACAGUCUCUCUGACCUGUAAAACCAGCAGCUCCAUUGGACGUCAGUCAGACGGUGACUGUAAGUCGUGUGUCUCCUGGUACCUUCAGAAACCUGGAGAAACACCUAAACUUUUAGUGCACAGCAUCAGGACCCUUGUGACUGAAACUCCAUCUAGAUUCAGUGGAAAUGGAGCCGAUUAUGGAACUGAUUUCACUCUGACCAUCAGUGGAGUCCAGACUGAAGAUACAGGAGAUUAUUACUGUCAGAGUUACCACUGGAUCAACAGUAAACCUGUUUUCACACAGUGAUAAAGAGUGGUACAAAAACCUCGGUCAGUCAGACGUCACAGUGAUGCACUGAUACAGCUGAGAGAUACUGCAGCUGCUCAUACAAC